Molecule: long non-coding RNA, 960 nt
Organism: Centruroides sculpturatus (bark scorpion)
Lineage: Eukaryota; Metazoa; Arthropoda; Arachnida; Scorpiones; Buthidae
Exons: 5
Source: RefSeq, a predicted model, not a curated record
UAAUUAUUUCCUCCUUCAUAUUGGAGCGUAGAAGUUUUAUCUAUUGAUUUCAAACGGUGCAGUGCAUAAUGAUUAUGUGGCUAGGUUCAAUAUUGAUUUUGCUCAAUGAUAAUAUUCAUUUUAUGAUAUGUAGAACACAUAAAUUAUUUCAGAAAUUAUCGAUUAUUUUUAAACGAUUAGAAAAUAUUUUCGAUGUAUAAUCAUUCGAUUCACUGAACAAUAUACACUAUUCUUUCUGGUACAAAUUUUAAACAGUUUAAAUGUACUUUAUUAGGAAAAUGUUUAAAAUUAUAUUAUUAAGAAAAUAUUUAAAAUCCACACAGUGCCGCACCGAAGAAAUUUCGGACCUUGGGAAAAUUUGCGAUAUGACCCCAAAAAGUGUGAGUAGAUUUAAAUAUCUGAACACUGAACACUCUUGGAAAAUGUUAUGGAUAGCGUUUUCGAUAUAUAAACAAUGAAUAAAAUAGGAAACCUACGUGAGUUGUAACACGAAAAUUAUUUUGUUGCGAAAUAUCCUCUCUGUGAUAGUUUCGUAGAAUUUUGCUUUCAUUUGUAAUUGGCGGAGAGACUUUCAAUGAGGAUGUAGUUUGCACACGAUACUCUUUACACUGGUCUUUAUAAGUAGAAACUUUGACCUUUGCGACGGGACACAUCUGGAAGUAAAAUGCCUUGCCCGUGUGGAAGUCAAUGCAAGUGUGGAGGGAACUGUAACUGCAGCGGCGGCAGUUGCAAGUGUUGUAGUGGAAAUAAAUGUCCAAAUGGAGGCAAUUGCGGAAAUAACCCAUGCACAUGCAAAAAGUGAUAAAAUAUUUUGAAUCAAAAACUAUAUAUAAAAUUAUAUAUAGUUAGUCGUUUCUGAACAUAUUUUUUAUAAUGUUUGAUAAAUUUUUAAUUUGUAGCUUUAGAAUUGAUGAACAUAAAUGACAGCAAAAAAGAAAUAAAUAUAUGUUAAAAAAUGUA